This 1256-nucleotide ribosomal RNA is filed under the name Clostridioides difficile. Its description in RNAcentral is "bacterial LSU rRNA". It matches the Rfam family "Bacterial large subunit ribosomal RNA", at positions 921 to 2195 of the family's 2925-position model. The record is from RNAcentral. Lineage: Bacteria; Bacillati; Bacillota; Clostridia; Peptostreptococcales; Peptostreptococcaceae.
AGGGGGUAUUGCACCUACCGAAGACUAUCAAACUCCGAAUGCCGUCAUCUUAUACUUGGGAGUCAGACUGUGGGUGAUAAGAUUCAUAGUCGAAAGGGCAACAGCCCAGAUCGUCAGCUAAGGUCCCUAAAUGUAAGUUAAGUGGUAAAGGAUGUGGGAUUGCACAGACAACCAGGAUGUUGGCUUAGAAGCAGCCACUCAUUCAAAGAGUGCGUAAUAGCUCACUGGUCGAGUGAUCCUGCGCCGAAGAUUUCCGGGGCUAAAACUUACUACCGAAGCUACGGCAUCAGUAAUGAUGGGUAGGGGAGCUUCCCAUACGGGUUGAAGCAUGACCGUAAGGACAUGUGGACAGUAUGGGAGUGAGAAUGUUGGCAUGAGUAGCGAGAUGUGGGUGAGAAUCCCACAGGCCGUAAACCCAAGGUUUCCAGGGGAAGGUUCGUCCGCCCUGGGUUAGUCGGGACCUAAGCUGAGGCCGAAAGGCGUAGGUGAUGGACAACAGGUUGAUAUUCCUGUACUACCGAUAACCGUUUGAGAGAAGGGAUGACACAGUAGGAUAAGCUAAGCACACUGUUGGUUAUGUGUGCCCAAGCAUUGAGGCAGUCAAAGUAGGCAAAUCCGCUUUGAUAAUGCUGGGAUGUGAUGGGGAGCGAAAUUUAGUAGCGAAGUAGCUGAUUUCACACUGUCAAGAAAAGUCUCUAUCGAGGUUAAAGGUACCCGUACCGCAAACCGACACAGGUGGGUGAGGAGAGUAUCCUAAGGCCAGCGAGAGAACUGUUGUUAAGGAACUCGGCAAAAUGACCCCGUAACUUAGGGAUAAGGGGUGCCACCAUCAGGUGGCCGCAGAGAAUAGGCCCAAGCGACUGUUUACCAAAAACAUAGGUUUCUGCUAAGUCGCAAGACGAUGUAUAGGAGCUGACGCCUGCCCGGUGCUGGAAGGUUAAGGGGAUCUGUUAGAGCAAUCGAAGCAGUGAACUUAAGCCCCAGUAAACGGCGGCCGUAACUAUAACGGUCCUAAGGUAGCGAAAUUCCUUGUCGGGUAAGUUCCGACCCGCACGAAAGGCGUAACGAUUUGGGCACUGUCUCAACAACAGACUCGGUGAAAUUGUAAUUCCGGUGAAGAUGCCGGAUACCUGCGACAGGACGGAAAGACCCCAUGGAGCUUUACUGUAGCUUGACAUUGGGUCUUGGUACUACAUGUACAGGAUAGGUGGGAGGCUUUGAAACCAGGACGCCAGUUUUGGCGGAGCCAUCCUUGG